This 117-nucleotide ribosomal RNA is filed under the name Paramormyrops kingsleyae. Lineage: Eukaryota; Metazoa; Chordata; Actinopteri; Osteoglossiformes; Mormyridae. The record is from RNAcentral.
GUCUGCAGCCAUGCCACCUGCAGCACAGAGUAGGUAAUGUAUCUGAAGUAAAGUAGGUUUGGGCCUGACCAGUGCUUGGAUGGGAAACCAGCUAGAAAAGCUGGGUUGGUGUUGGUG